Molecule: long non-coding RNA, 2289 nt
Organism: Aquila chrysaetos chrysaetos
Lineage: Eukaryota; Metazoa; Chordata; Aves; Accipitriformes; Accipitridae
Exons: 2
Source: RefSeq, a predicted model, not a curated record
GCAUCGGCUGCCGGGCAGAGCCGUCAGCCCGUCGCGCCGCGUACCGCCCGGCUCCGGGCUGCGGGCACGGCGCCAAGCCCCCGAGCCGGGUGUCGGGACUCGGGAGCAGAGAGCACCUGCAAGCUCCCAAAAGCACCUGCAUGCUCUUGGCUGCCCUCGCAACGUCUUCACAAGCUGUGCUACCUCAGCUGGGUCCUCACUCGCCUGCUGAGCCCCCGUGGGACCCCAGAUGGGUGAGUGCAAGUCCCAGGGGGCCUGGGGACAGUGUGCUCCAGGGGUGCCCCUUCCCUCGAUGCCUACACUGGCCUCUGUGCUCCUGCGAGGAGAGCCAGUGCUCCCUGCCAGCGAGCUGGACCUGCAGCCUGGCCCUCCCAAAGGCCUCAACUCUCUCAGAUGGAGAUGCUGGGGUGGCUCUCGGCACCCUGCUAGGGCCGGGCACCCCACGGGGCUGCAGGGCCCCUCACCAAGCAGCACCCGCCUUCUCAGCCGGUUGCAGUGCAGAUUUCUCGCCAGGAUGCUGGAAAGUCGCUUUCUGCUUCUCCGCAGCGUGAGGAUGGGAGCCUCGCUCUCUCCGCUGAGCUACGCCAACCUGUUGCGCAGCUCUCUUCGCUGCACACAUGCUCAGCUCGGCUGCGAUGACUGCACCAUCUAGAGGCUGCGCCGGCCUGCUCGGAGGAGCCCUGGCUCUGGCUCAGCCCAAAUCACCCCACUUUUCCCCCCCGCAAGAUGGAAGCUCAGCCCCUGGCAGGGCUUCUUCCUGCUGGGCAGGAGAAAGGAGCUGGAGAGUCAUCCCCUCUGAGUGGAAAACCCUGCUCUCCCCCGAGACUUUCCUGUAGCAGGGCCAUCUCUGCUCCUACAGGCAUGUCGGCUUCUUCGCGUCUGUGUGUUGGUUUUUUUUCUGGGUGUCAAUUGUCAUGAAGCCAAUUUAGCGGAAGAUGUGAAGUGAAAAGCCAGGCAAGGUCAAAGCCCACCAUGGAAGGGCAGGGAAAGGAGCUGUGGGGUUUGUCAGGGUUUACCCUGCUGAUACAGCGUGAGCGGGGAUCUGGACGGAGAGAGGGAAUUAAACUCUCUGGAGACAGCAUAAGAUUUAAUUUAUCAGUCACUGGCAGCCCUCCUGGGAGGGCUGAAGAGCUGUAGCAAAGGGAAUAACUGAGGAAGUGACCCUGUGGAUCCAAGGCUGUCUGUGGAGCGGUGAAGCCAAACUUAAGAGAUCGCUGGUGACCAAAGGUUUCCAUUUCGCAAGAGGCACAAGUAGUCAAUAGGCAAACUGUGCAGAGAGCAGCUGGGGAAGCUGUGCAUGCACAGUUUACUAGAUGCCUCCUAUUUGUGAGGGACUGGUGCCUGCCAUCUGCAGCCUCUGCUUGGGCACGUUUCUGAGAGGCAGGUCCAGGCUCUAAGAGCGUAGGGGAAAAAGAAAUGUCCCAGCCUCAGGAGUCACCUCUCUGCAGCCCAGAGGAGCUGCCUGGCAAAACCUUCUGCAGUGCCAGCAGCACCUGACGGCCAGGGGAGCUGGCAGGACGCCGUGUCCAGGCCACCCAAGGCCUGGCAUCCCCGGGGUGAUUUGUCUGUCUCUACCUUCCUCCUCUGCCCACUGCCUUUGAAAGCAGACGAGCUCCUCCCAGAGUGUUCCUUGCCCUCUGACAGCAAGGAAAACCUGAUGCUGGCGUUGCCUUUCCCUGUCCUCCCUCCCUUUGCUUGGGCAUUACAGUACGUGUCACCGGUCCUUACCUUGUCUUCGCCAUUUCCCAGAAAGCCGGGCCAGUCUAAGCCAUGGGAAACCAUCAAACUGCAGCUUUGGCUGCAGAGUUACUUCGUGAGACCCUCCAGCUCCUUCCCACCCACCUGCCCCGGUGCUGGCAGUGCCACCGACCCUGGAGAUGCUGCUGGAGGCGCUGGCUCGCCCCGCACAGCGGGUACCCCAUGCCGGGAUGCUCUGGCGUCACGCAGACAGCUGCUUCGUGGUGCCGGUGGGGCCUUGUCAGAAGAACAAAGCCUGCGAGAGAAGAGCAUCCAGCUAAAUCUCUGGGAAAGCGAGAAGAAAGGGAAACACGGAGAGCAAAUGAACCUUACAAGAGAAUAAAUACCCCCUCCCCAACACACACACGCAGCAACCUGGCUGCCGUCUGCUGCAAGGAGUUCAAAGGCUCUUCUGUUCUCUCUCUCUUAUCAGCUCUGGGCUCCGCAGGAGAAGCAGCAGCAUGGAUUUGGGCAGCAAAUGCUAAUAACACAGAUGUUCUGACAAUUUGCUUGUUUCUACAAUUAAAAACAAAAAGAUCCUCAAAACCCAAA